GACUAGCCCCGACAGCAGCGGCAUCGUGUAGAGCGGAUGGCGGGAAUAGGG
RNAcentral lists this unclassified non-coding RNA (51 nucleotides) under Flavobacterium saliperosum. RNAcentral describes it as "Flavo-1 RNA". Lineage: Bacteria; Pseudomonadati; Bacteroidota; Flavobacteriia; Flavobacteriales; Flavobacteriaceae. The record is from RNAcentral.